GCUUGUCUCAAAGAUUAAGCCAUGCAUGUCUAAGUACAAGCCUCAGUAAGGUGAAACCGCGAAUGGCUCAUUAAAUCAGUUAUCGUUUAUUUGAUAAUACCUUACUACUUGGAUAACCGUGGUAAUUCUAGAGCUAAUACAUGCUGAAAAUCCCGACUUCGGAAGGGAUGUGUUUAUUAGAUAAAAAACCAAUGCCCUUCGGGGCUUUUUGGUGAUUCAUGAUAACUUUACGGAUCGCAUAGCCUUGCGCUGGCGACGGUUCAUUCAAAUUUCUGCCCUAUCAACUUUCGAUGGUAAGGUAUUGGCUUACCAUGGUUUCAACGGGUAACGGGGAAUUAGGGUUCGAUUCCGGAGAGGGAGCCUGAGAAACGGCUACCACAUCCAAGGAAGGCAGCAGG
Molecule: ribosomal RNA, 398 nt
Filed under: Clathrospora diplospora
Lineage: Eukaryota; Fungi; Ascomycota; Dothideomycetes; Pleosporales; Diademaceae
Description: partial small subunit ribosomal RNA
Rfam family: Eukaryotic small subunit ribosomal RNA
Source: RNAcentral